AUAGAGACAAUGUUUCACCAUGUUGGCCAGGCUGGUCUCGAACUCCUGACCUCAAGUGACCCGCCCGCCUUGUCCUCGAAUAGUGCUGGGAUUACAGGUGCGACCCACCACACCCGGCUGCAAUGUUUGUUUUAAUUACUUUUGGCAAGUAUUUCCUGAGUACCCCGAGCGUGCCAGGUGAAGAGAGACGGAUAAUAACAGCGCUAGCCAGCACGUAUUAAGCCUUGCAAAGCUGCACGGGCAUGAACUUGUGGCUUCAACACAACCUUAUGAGACAGGUUUUCACAAUGUCACCGAGGCUGGAGUGCAAUGGUGUGAUCUUGGCUCACUGCAGCCUCAACCUCCCAGGCUCAAGUGAUUCUCCCACCUCAGCCUCUCAAGUAGCUAGGACUAUAGAUGUGUACCACACUCGGCUAAUUUUUGUAUUUUUUUGUAGAGAUGGGGUUUUGCCAUGUUGCCCAGGCUGGUCUCAAACUCCUGGGCUCCAGCAAUCCUCCGCCUUAGCCUCCCAAAUUGCUGGGAUUACAGGCCUGAGCCACUGGCGCCUGGCCAUGACUCCUUUCUUGAAAGACUCUCACUGUCUCUUCUCUUGCCAUCUCUCUGCUCUUCCUUUUUCUGUCCUCCUUUGUCCUCCUCCUCUUUCUCCUUCUCUGUCUCUGCCUCUCUCUGUGUGUCUCUCUCUUCGUGUCUCUCUCUUCCGCACAUCAUGCAUUCUUACCAACCAUGACUAAACACUUAUGCGAUAGAAGAAUAUGUUUUCAGUAAUUCACUGUGGGUCUUGGCUUGUAGAAAUCCCACAAGCCAGGCUCUGUGCCUUCGCUACACUUUUGGUGAGAACUUCUGUGGACAGAGGCACAAAAGCCUCAAGCUGUGAGAUUCAAAAUCUGGUGGUUAAGCCAGCCCCUCAGCGCUCCCAGCCUGCGCCCCUCGUUGGAAACAAUGAGUUGGAAAGUGUCUUGAUGACUUUCAGCAGACAGACCUGCAAAGAAGAGAAGCUGAUCUGGACUCUGGCCUUCCUUCACAACACACUGACAAGCCCACCACAGCUGCCAAACAUGAGGUGAUGGGACAGCCCUCGUGGCCUCCACCCACCGCCCUGGUGGAGAAGUGAAACAUGAACCCACCAGUGCAAGACAGAGGAAGAGGCACCAGCGAAGGCAAGAAAACUGAAGCUGGACGCUGGCCUCCAGUCCUGUCUUUGCCAUUAGCAGCCCUGGGAUCUUAGUGCCUUCACCAGCCGAGCUUCAGUUUUUCCACCUGUAAAAUGGAGGGUUGAGGCCACAUCUUCCUUUUAGUCCUUCCUCUUCCCUUCCCUCCAGAGCAAGUGGUGUGGAAUUCUAAGGCAAAAGUCACCCUGAUUGAAUGGUGUAGAUUAGUCAAGAACCCAGCACUGAGGUCAGCCUCUGGAAGCAAUUUAAGAUGACCCAAGGAUUUGAGAUUCCAACCUCCUGCAUGCAAGCAGAAGUGCUUCCUCCUACAUAGGGCUGCCCUCCUUCCUGAGCAACUGGGCUGAUUUGUGGAAGAAACAGCUGUGCUUUCUGGUGAGCUCCAAUGCCAAACAUGUAGGCCUUGGAUCAGGCAGGAUGUUCCAUCAGCAGUCAUUGUUCACACCUGUGCUGUAUGGGCCAGGCAUCGAGCCAAUAGUAACACCUCCUUUCACCCCACAACAACCCUGUACCAAGCACACACCCAUUUUAUACCUGAGGAAGCUGAGGCUUGGAGAGGCACCGCGCCCAGGGUCAUGUAACCACAGGUGACAAAAUGAAGAUGCAAAUGCAACCUGAGUGAUUCCUUUUGAUGGAGCCACACCAUUUAAAUCAAUGCUGGGUGAUUGGAUUAUAUGUAAUUUUUUUAAAUUAAAAACAUUUUUUUGCCAGACACAGUUGCUCAUGCCUGUAAUCCCAGCACUUUGGGAGGCCGAGGCGAAGUGGAUCACUUGAGGUCAAGAGUCCGAGACCAGCCUGGCCAAUACAGUAAAACCCCGUCUCUACUGAAAAUACAAAAAAUUACCUGGGUAUGGUGGUGGGCAACUGUAAUCCCAGCGACUUGGGAGGCUGAGGCAGGAGAAUCACUUUAACCUGGGAGGCAGAGGUUGCAGUGAGCUGAGAUCGCACCACUGCACUCCAGCCUGGGCAACAGAGUGAGAUUCUGUCUCAAAAAAACCCAAAAAACAAAACAAACAAAAACAUUUGUUUCCCUAUAAUGAAUAGGAUUGCUUGUGUUUUAAAAGGGAGUAACCCAAUCACAGCACUUGCAGAUAACAUUAUAUGUUGCCUGGAAUCUGAUUUAAACUAUUCCACGGGGUGGGGGGUGGUGCAGAAAUAAAGCCAAAUUAUCCGUGAAUUCAUAACCCUUGAGGCUGAGUAUUGGAUAUGACGUUCAUCAUCCUAUUCUCCUGUAGUGAACGUGUUUGAGAAGUUCCACGAUAUUAAAAAAAUUUAAAUUUAAAAUUUAAUAAGUCUAAAUUCAAGAUAAAUGAACUAGCCUGGGAAUGCCCUGUCAUGAGGGUGGCAGUCCUUCGCCCCACCCCACAGCUGAAAGCAUUUUAAGGUCGGCUUCGAGAAGGUAUUCAUUAAGGCCUCCUGGUUCUGCUCUCCCUGGACCACAGUGGCUCUCUUUGCGUCCAAGAGAACAAUCUUCCCCCAGAUUGCUGGCCAAGUCGCGACUGCGUGUUAGGGAUCCCACAGCCAAGUUGUGGUUUUAUGACAGAGUUUGGAACCAUAUGUGGUUCACGUUCACUCAGUCCGGA
This 2749-nucleotide long non-coding RNA is filed under the name Homo sapiens (human). RNAcentral's name for it is "long non-coding RNA NONHSAT195362.1". Lineage: Eukaryota; Metazoa; Chordata; Mammalia; Primates; Hominidae. The record is from RNAcentral.